GGCUCCCUGUGCCCUCCCGCCCGCGGCCGCUCGGCUCUCUGAGUACACCGCUGGCAGCGGGACGCGCUUAGGGCUCUGAGCUCGCCCCUCGCAGAGCACUGAGCUCCGGCAGCCGCCCCGGGCUCACGGCCGAGYCCCUGCGCUCGCACUGCGCCCCAGCGGCUCCGGCAGCGGAAGCCUCCGGGCUGUUCUGCCACGAGUGUUGUGUUCCGAAACGGUGACGUUCUCCAAGUUAUUCUUGACUGGCURUCAAUCGGGUUUUGGAGGAAGUAUCCUGAGUAUGUGGUUGUCACUAUGGAGAGCAUCUCUGGGUUGCAACCUAGGGCUCCAUGGCUGUUUCAGGAAAACAGAGCUAUUAGGGCAGCUUUGACAGAAUUAAAAACUCYCCAUGAGAAAGAAUCUCCAGGACAGUGGUCAUAAAUUAAAACCAGCUGUCACAAGUACAACCUUGGCUUUCAACWCCUCCACCUGUACUGCAGCCCUGAGGCUUUGUGAAGCAAAGAGAGCAGCCCUGGAGCCCCCCACACCCAUCGUUGGUGACAGCCCCCAGCUCUCACAGCUGGCACCAGGGACAGCAGCAGCUGGACACCCCACAGGAUCCCUGCCAAGGAGCCUUGCAGAAUUAARGGGACAGGAUUAGGGGCUGACAUGCCAAUCUGUAUCAUCUACUGGUCCAGUCUGGAGGUGAAGAAGUCACUGACUCCUCUCACCYCCAAAAACUUCUAAAAGCAUCUGCAAUCUGCAAGUUCCAGUGAGGGGUUACUGUGCAGCCCAGCUGGACUGAAGGGCAGCAGACAUUCUACAGAGCACAAGGUGAAAUGAAUUUCUAUAAAAAAUAGAAGCAAAAUGCCAGAUCCUUAAGAAAAGUGCCAGCAGACCUUUAAUGGUGCUGGGAACCAGCCAAGACCGCGAGUUACAUUUCUUUUGAAAGAAUUCUGUAUAAUGAAGCACAGUGAAAAAAUAUGCAGAGAGACUGACAGCGGUGUUUAUUUUAUUCAUGGCACUACAUUUAUUCAGGGAACAGAGUGGGGGGGAAAAAGCCCUGGACUGAGAAAAAAGGAGGUGGUCUUCCAAUAACCAUAAAACCACACAGACCURGAGCAGAAGGCCAGGAAACUCUUGUUCCCUCUGCAGACUUGGGGAUGCUGCCCCUGCAACAUCUAGUAGUUUUAUAGCCAGCGAUGGARCAUGCAGGGGACAGCAGGCCUUGGAGGAAAAGAGCUGGGUUUUAUUUUUUGAGGAGGUGGGAAACUGAAGGGGAGGAUGAAAAAAAUUGUGUAAACCAUGUUUUAUAAGUAAAGUUUUAAAGGUCCCUUAGCAGACUUAAAAAAAGAUGAAGUACACUCACUACAUUCUUUCUUUCCACGGACGGAACGGGCCAGCGAAAACAACUGACCUCAACUGUUUGAAUCCUGUGUGGGUUGUUACGCAACAGCCCAACCACUCCCCUGCACUUCUGCUGGGGAGCUGCACAUGGCUGAGAAGUUCAUUCUUUAACUGCCCUCCCGAAUUUGUUUUCCUUACAGCCAACCUGCAGCUGAUUGCUAACAUCAGCAACCGUAACAGCAGUUCAAAGAAUAUCGCUUUUGCAGCA
Molecule: long non-coding RNA, 1594 nt
Organism: Malurus melanocephalus (red-backed fairy wren)
Lineage: Eukaryota; Metazoa; Chordata; Aves; Passeriformes; Maluridae
Exons: 5
Source: RefSeq, a predicted model, not a curated record